This 389-nucleotide ribosomal RNA is filed under the name uncultured bacterium. RNAcentral's name for it is "bacterial SSU rRNA". It matches the Rfam family "Bacterial small subunit ribosomal RNA", at positions 29 to 408 of the family's 1533-position model. The record is from RNAcentral.
AAUGAACGCUGGCGGCGCGCCUAAUACAUGCAAGUCGAGCGAGAAGACGUAGCAAUACGUUUGUAAAGCGGCGAACGGGUGAGGAAUACAUGGGUAACCUACCCUCGAGUGGGGAAUAACUAGCCGAAAGGUUAGCUAAUACCGCGUACGCUUCUUGGACUUCGGUUCAGGGAGGAAAGCGAUGCCGAGGGUAUCGCGCUCUUGGAUGGGCUCAUGUCCUAUCAGCUUGUCGGNGAGGUAACGGCUCACCAGGGCUUCGACGGGUAGCUGGUCUGAGAGGACGAUCAGCCACACUGGCACUGCGACACGGGCCAGACUCCUACGGGAGGCAGCAGUAAGGAAUAUUGCGCAAUGGGCGAAAGCCUGACGCAGCGACGCCGCGUGGGGGA